GCAGAACUGCCUCUGAGCUGAUACUCAGGGCACACAGCAUAUAGAGUAUUCUUGUUCCGCAAAAAACAGUACCUCUGCUGCUGCUGUACACUCUGCUGCUUCAGAGUCGCUGUUUAACACUGUGGGUUCACCCUUGAAUUCUUCCUGGAUGAAGCCAAGAACCCUCCUGGGCUAAGCCUCAAUUUUGGGGCUUGCCUGUCCUGCGUCAGCAUGAGUACGGACUUUGGGGUUACAAAUAGGUGCAUUUGCAAAUAUGGAAUCCACGAAUGAUGAAGAUAGACUAUCACUGGGUACCACCGGAAUUCUCUGACCUGAUAACUUCAUAUGCAAAUCCUGGCUGGUCCUUGGAACAGGAGAAAGGGUUGGAAAACAAAGAUCACUUUUCUCUGGCCAAAUGGAAUCACCCAACAAAGUACCUUCCUGAUGGGCCAGCUAUUUCAGAUGAUGAAGGUUUAAGAAGCAGCAUCAUCAGCGAACUGUGUUUUGAAGAUUUGAGGGAAGGGCUGACCUCAGGAUUUUAUACUAGUUGCUGACCUCCAUAACAGCAGACAAAAUUGGAAGCAAGAGUGAUUUUGGAGGAGUCACACUUAGAUGUUUCCCUUACCUAUUUCUGUUCUGGAAAUUUAAAAAUCUUACUUCUCGUGACAGUCCUACAUGAAAAAUUAAAAAUCACAAGGAUUCAUGGAUGGAAAACUGAGACUCAGAGAAUGAUCACAUUCACAUCGUAAUAAAUCAGCAAUAGAGUGAGUGAUUGUUCCUUGGUAAGAAAUCAACUCUAAACUCAGUUGGAAACCUUUGCCAAUAUUACUUAACACAUGACAA
RNAcentral lists this long non-coding RNA (822 nucleotides) under Homo sapiens (human). RNAcentral describes it as "HSALNT0317242". Lineage: Eukaryota; Metazoa; Chordata; Mammalia; Primates; Hominidae. The record is from RNAcentral.